Molecule: ribosomal RNA, 253 nt
Filed under: uncultured bacterium
Lineage: Bacteria
Description: partial 16S ribosomal RNA
Rfam family: Bacterial small subunit ribosomal RNA
Source: RNAcentral
UACGGAGGGUGCAAGCGUUAUCCGGAUUCACUGGGUUUAAAGGGUGCGUAGGCGGGCAGGUAAGUCAGUGGUGAAAUCUCCGAGCUUAACUCGGAAACUGCCAUUGAUACUAUUUGUCUUGAAUAUUGUGGAGGUAAGCGGAAUAUGUCAUGUAGCGGUGAAAUGCUUAGAUAUGACAUAGAACACCAAUUGCGAAGGCAGCUUACUACACAAUGAUUGACGCUGGGGCACGAAAGCGUGGGGAUCAAACAGG